This 761-nucleotide ribosomal RNA is filed under the name uncultured bacterium. RNAcentral's name for it is "bacterial SSU rRNA". It matches the Rfam family "Bacterial small subunit ribosomal RNA", at positions 28 to 776 of the family's 1533-position model. The record is from RNAcentral.
AUUGAACGCUGGCGGCAGGCUUAACACAUGCAAGUCGGACGGUAACAGGAGGAAAGCUUGCUUUCUUUGCUGACGAGUGGCGGACGGGUGAGUAAUGCUUGGGAAUCUGUUUUAUGGAGGGGGAUAACUACGGGAAACUGUAGCUAAUACCGCGUAAUAUCGAGAGAUUAAAGUGUGGGACCGUAAGGCCACACGCCAUAGAGUGAGCCCAAGUGGGAUUAGGUAGUUGGUGGGGUAAAGGCCUACCAAGCCGUCGAUCUCUAGCUGGUCUGAGAGGAUGACCAGCCACACUGGGACUGAGACACGGCCCAGACUCCUACGGGAGGCAGCAGUGGGGAAUAUUGCACAAUGGGCGCAAGCCUGAUGCAGCCAUGCCGCGUGAAUGAAGAAGGCCUUCGGGUUGUAAAGUUCUUUCGGUGGUGAGGAAGGUUGUAAUGUUAAUAGCAUUAUAAUUUGACGUUAGCCACAGAAGAAGCACCGGCUAACUCCGUGCCAGCAGCCGCGGUAAUACGGAGGGUGCGAGCGUUAAUCGGAAUAACUGGGCGUAAAGGGCACGCAGGCGGAUACUUAAGUGAGGUGUGAAAGCCCUGGGCUUAACCUAGGAAUUGCAUUUCAUACUGGGUAUCUAGAGUAUUUUAGGGAGGGGUAGAAUUCCACGUGUAGCGGUGAAAUGCGUAGAGAUGUGGAGGAAUACCGAAGGCGAAGGCAGCCCCUUGGGGGAAUACUGACGCUCAUGUGCGAAAGCGUGGGGAGCAAACAGG